UACGGAGGGUGCGAGCGUUGUCCGGAAUCACUGGGCGUAAAGGGCGCGUAGGCGGCUUCUUAAGCGUGUGGUGAAAGCCCGCGGCUCAACCGCGGGUCGGCCAUGCGAACUGGGAGGCUUGAGCACUGUAGAGGCAGGUGGAAUUCCGGGUGUAGCGGUGGAAUGCGUAGAGAUCCGGAAGAACACCGGUGGCGAAGGCGGCCUGCUGGGCAGUAGCUGACGCUGAGGCGCGACAGCGUGGGGAGCAAACAGG
RNAcentral lists this ribosomal RNA (253 nucleotides) under uncultured Gemmatimonas sp. RNAcentral's name for it is "partial 16S ribosomal RNA". It matches the Rfam family "Bacterial small subunit ribosomal RNA", at positions 524 to 776 of the family's 1533-position model. The record is from RNAcentral. Lineage: Bacteria; Pseudomonadati; Gemmatimonadota; Gemmatimonadia; Gemmatimonadales; Gemmatimonadaceae.